Molecule: ribosomal RNA, 301 nt
Filed under: uncultured bacterium
Lineage: Bacteria
Description: partial 16S ribosomal RNA
Rfam family: Bacterial small subunit ribosomal RNA
Source: RNAcentral
CAGUCGCCGCGGUAAUACGUAGGUGGCAAGCGUUGUCCGGAAUUAUUGGGCGUAAAGGGCUCGCAGGCGGUUUCUUAAGUCUGAUGUGAAAUUCCUGGGCUUAAUCUGGGGGCUGCAUUUGAGACGCGUGGUCUAGAGUGUGAAAGAGGGUCGUGGAAUUCCCAGUGUAGAGGUGAAAUUCGUAGAUAUUGGGAAGAACACCGGUGGCGAAGGCGGCGACCUGGUUCAUGACUGACGCUGAGGCGCGAAAGCGCGGGGAGCAAACAGGAUUAGAUACCCCAGUAGUCCCUGUCUCUUAUAC